Molecule: ribosomal RNA, 376 nt
Filed under: uncultured Legionella sp.
Lineage: Bacteria; Pseudomonadati; Pseudomonadota; Gammaproteobacteria; Legionellales; Legionellaceae
Description: bacterial SSU rRNA
Rfam family: Bacterial small subunit ribosomal RNA
Source: RNAcentral
GUAGCUGGUCUGAGAGGAUGGCCAGCCACACUGGAACUGAGACACGGUCCAGACUCCUACGGGAGGCAGCAGUGGGGAAUAUUGGACAAUGGGGGCAACCCUGAUCCAGCAAUGCCGCGUGUGUGAAGAAGGCCUGAGGGUUGUAAAGCACUUUCAGUGGGGAGGAGGGAUGAUUGGUUAAGAGCUGAUUAWUUGGACGUUACCCACAGAAGAAGCACCGGCUAACUCCGUGCCAGCAGCCGCGGUAAUACGGAGGGUGCAAGCGUUAAUCGGAAUUACUGGGCGUAAAGGGUGCGUAGGUGGUUDAUUAAGUUAUCUGUGAAAUCCCUGGGCUUAACCUGGGCAGGUCAGAUAAUACUGGURRCCUCGAGUAUGG